RNAcentral lists this ribosomal RNA (429 nucleotides) under Chloroflexota bacterium. RNAcentral's name for it is "Chloroflexi bacterium partial 16S ribosomal RNA". It matches the Rfam family "Bacterial small subunit ribosomal RNA", at positions 355 to 776 of the family's 1533-position model. The record is from RNAcentral. Lineage: Bacteria; Bacillati; Chloroflexota.
UGGGGAAUAUUGCACAAUGGGCGCAAGCCUGAUGCAGCCAUGCCGCGUGUGUGAAGAAGGCCUUCGGGUUGUAAAGCACUUUCAGCGGGGAGGAAGGCGAUAAGGUUAAUAACCUUGUCGAUUGACGUUACCCGCAGAAGAAGCACCGGCUAACUCCGUGCCAGCAGCCGCGGUAAUACGGAGGGUGCAAGCGUUAAUCGGAAUUACUGGGCGUAAAGCGCACGCAGGCGGUCUGUCAAGUCGGAUGUGAAAUCCCCGGGCUCAACCUGGGAACUGCAUUCGAAACUGGCAGGCUAGAGUCUUGUAGAGGGGGGUAGAAUUCCAGGUGUAGCGGUGAAAUGCGUAGAGAUCUGGAGGAAUACCGGUGGCGAAGGCGGCCCCCUGGACGAAGACUGACGCUCAGGUGCGAAAGAGUGGGGAGCAAACAGG